GGGAGAAAUUCAUUCGCGUUUCGCCGUCGACGUUUAGCGGACUCGAGACGGANGANGCGUUCGCGCUUUCACCGCUCAUUUCGUCAUUCGAUUCGAUAACGAACGCGUGCACUUUUCUCCUGGUAGGACGUCGCGAUCCGUUGGGUGUCGGUCUACGGCUCUCGAAGGAGACCGUGCGUACGGCUUGCCGUUACGUGCGGACUCGAGUGUCCCGGCUGACUCGCUCGACGGUAUACGAAAGGUUUAAGGCCGCUCUUUCUUUGAGCGUUCGACUCGUCGCAAGCGCGUCGUAUGUGUUGGCGAUCGGACCUAGUGCCGGUUCUGACCUUCGACGACUGUUGGCGACGAAGUUCUCGAACAGACCUCUAACCGAUCUGCGACGCUAUAGCUUUGGAUACUUUCAGGACCCGUCUUGAAACACGGACCAAGGAGUCUAGCAUGUACGCGAGUCAUUGGGAUUUCAAAUAAACCUAAAGGCGUAAUGAAAGUAAAAGUCAGCCUCGCGCUGACUAAGGGAAGACGAGCGGUUUACCCUUAAAAGUAGCCGUUCCGCACUCCCGGGGCGUCUCGUUCUCAUUGCGAGAAGAGGCGCACCAUGAGCGUACACGCUGGGACCCGAAAGAUGGUGAACUAUGCCUGGUCAGGACGAAGUCAGGGGAAACCCUGAUGGAGGUCCGUAGCGAUUCUGACGUGCAAAUCGAUCGUC
RNAcentral lists this ribosomal RNA (706 nucleotides) under Drouetius azoricus parallelirostris. RNAcentral's name for it is "eukaryotic LSU rRNA". It matches the Rfam family "Eukaryotic large subunit ribosomal RNA", at positions 465 to 906 of the family's 3401-position model. The record is from RNAcentral. Lineage: Eukaryota; Metazoa; Arthropoda; Insecta; Coleoptera; Curculionidae.